Molecule: non-coding RNA, 111 nt
Organism: Gossypium raimondii (Peruvian cotton)
Lineage: Eukaryota; Viridiplantae; Streptophyta; Magnoliopsida; Malvales; Malvaceae
Source: Rfam
GAGAGCACAGUACGAUGAAAGUUGUAAGUUGUGUUCGGGGGGAGUUAUUGUCUAUCAUUGGCCUCUAUGGUAGAACCAGUCAGGGGCCUGAGAGGCGGUGCUUUACCCUGU